This is a long non-coding RNA of Puntigrus tetrazona (Sumatra barb), 529 nucleotides long. RefSeq lists it as uncharacterized. The record is from RefSeq and is a predicted model, not a curated record. The transcript is spliced from 2 exons. Lineage: Eukaryota; Metazoa; Chordata; Actinopteri; Cypriniformes; Cyprinidae.
UUGGACGCCGUUCUGGACUCUGGCAGCGUUGUCAGCCUGGUCCAGUCCCGCCUGCUGCCUCCCCGUUCCACGCCCCGAAAACGCCUGCCGAUAACCUGUGUCCAUGGGGAUACCAAGAAGGUCUCGACCCGCUGGGUCAAAAUAACCACAGCAGGCGGAAGCUGGAACCUGGAGGUAGGCCUCAUCCAAGACCUGCCGGUGCCGGUGAUCCUCGGGCGGGACUGGCCGGGCUUCCCGGAGGCUCUCAAGACCGCUGCCCGGGCCGACAACCCAUCCAAGCCGCCGGAGAAGAAGAGAGGGGCCCGCCGCCAGACUGCACUCAUAACCUCCGACAGCGGGAGAGAUGAAGCCAGUCCUUGAACCGCGACACAGAGCUAAUUCCCCCAAGAUUCACCGUUGCCGUACUCACCGACUGCACCCUGAGCACCGAGCACCCAGAAGAUAACGCCACUGACAGCGAUUGUGCACCGGCUCACCAUUCACGUAUCACAUAUUGUUAAAUAAACGUGCCCUCCGGGGUUCAAACGCC